RNAcentral lists this ribosomal RNA (512 nucleotides) under Didymella sp. AX82. RNAcentral's name for it is "eukaryotic LSU rRNA". The stretch from base 186 to 339 matches the Rfam family "5.8S ribosomal RNA". The record is from RNAcentral. Lineage: Eukaryota; Fungi; Ascomycota; Dothideomycetes; Pleosporales; Didymellaceae.
UCGUAACAAGGUUUCCGUAGGUGAACCUGCGGAAGGAUCAUUACCUAGAGUUGCGGGCUUUGCCUGCCAUCUCUUACCCAUGUCUUUUGAGUACCUUCGUUUCCUCGGCGGGUUCGCCCGCCGAUUGGACAAAACUUAAACCCUUUGUAAUUGAAAUCAGCGUCUGAAAAAAACAUAAUAGUUACAACUUUCAACAACGGAUCUCUUGGUUCUGGCAUCGAUGAAGAACGCAGCGAAAUGCGAUAAGUAGUGUGAAUUGCAGAAUUCAGUGAAUCAUCGAAUCUUUGAACGCACAUUGCGCCCCUUGGUAUUCCAUGGGGCAUGCCUGUUCGAGCGUCAUUUGUACCUUCAAGCUCUGCUUGGUGUUGGGUGUUUGUCUCGCCUCUGCGCGCAGACUCGCCUCAAAACGAUUGGCAGCCGGCGUAUUGAUUUCGGAGCGCAGUACAUCUCGCGCUUUGCACUCACAACGACGACGUCCAAAAAGUACAUUUUUACACUCUGACCUCGGAUCA